Oryza sativa Japonica Group (Japanese rice) is the source of this 1810-nucleotide non-coding RNA. The record is from RefSeq and is a predicted model, not a curated record. NCBI's taxonomy places the organism in Eukaryota, Viridiplantae, Streptophyta, Magnoliopsida, Poales, Poaceae.
GGUUAAUAUAUUAAUAGCGGUUUCCUACACCAUAACCAACCCACCCAUCCACUUUUUUGACCCUAUUUUUCUAGAUCUACAGGAAGUGGCGAUCCGGCGGAGGAACCGGUAGCAUCGACCGCCGACGGCGCGAGUUCUUGAUGACGACCACCACCACCCUGGGCAAGGGAGUAUCCUAGGCGGCGGCAACGACGACUCGAUCGGAAGGCUUCUCCACUGCUUCAGCCAGCCCUCUAACUCCGGCGUCGGCUUCGUUGACGCAGAUCGGGAGGUGGCCAUUGAUGGGGAUCGACAGCGGCGAUGGCGCAAUACUCAGGAAAUUAGGAAUGCGUCGAUGGUGGUUGUUUGAUUUCUCAAGAAUGGGGCCAUCGACCAUGGCAUCCAAAGCAGAGUCUUGCAAGUGUGGAGGACAGUGCCUAGACACCGCCCCAUGAAGUGGCCCGCCCUGCAGGUCACGUGGGCACUCCGGCAAGGGCGACGAGCAGCGACGUACCCAAAAAUUCAUUAGGAAGUUGAUGCGCACAUCGCCGGCGGCCACGUCCAUGGUCUGCACUAGGAUGUGAGGAUGGAGGGCACGCGUUUGCUUGAGAUUAUCGUCUCUGCCUGUCGAUCUAGGUUCCAUCAAUGUGCUUCUUUGGAUUCCUUUCUGCCAUGUAGUGGUCAGGGACAGGUUAUUUUUCCUGCUUGGUCAUAGAGGGUCUCGUCUUAUUGAUAAUUGAUGCAUUCUUGUGUUCUUGCUUCUGCCUGUUCAUGGAGGUUCUUUUGUUUUAUUGAUGCAGGGCCACGGCGGUUCUUGGUGCAUGCUGUGUUGUUGGGUUGUGGGUGUGGUUAAAUAUUCAGUGUUUUUUUCCCUCCAAUUGAUCAUAAACGAUCAGAAGUUUCCAUAUUGAUGGUGCAGAGACCUGUCAGGGAGCAUGCAUCUCAGCCUGCUGUAUUGUUAAUUACUUAAUUUCAGAUUGUGCUUUCUUUCCUAGUGUAUUGUUGUUGCUAGCCUCUUUAACAAUAGCACUAUUAUGGCCACAAAACACUAGUUCGAGCGCCCAUCCCUGACAAUCAGGUGUUUUCAACGUUGAUGUAGGUAGUAAUCUGUGCAACACUGCAACAUCCUUGCUUUGAUAGAUAGGUUAGCUGGUGGUCUCAUCCCUGAGAAUCAGGUGAUCGAUUCUUCUUAAGGACAUUAUUUCCAUCUUUUUUUUAGACAUACAUGGAUUGUUUAUUUUAUUUUCACACUACUAAUAUAGUUUUUUUUGCCAUUAUACUAUAGAUUUUACUGUUUUUGCUAAAUAAAAGCUUACAUUUUAAAGUACCUGUCCUAUAGAAAGAGAAACAUUGUUUUUUUACUAGUUGCUACAUGUAAAAUUGAUUUUGUGAUUGUAUAUCCUGAUAUUUUCUUGAUUUCCAGAUGUUAUCUUGAUUUUAGUUAGCUGUAGGUGAUCACAAUUGACAAUAUUGUUGCUAAUGAGGCGGCUGGAUCCACGGUGGAGCAAGUUGUUGCGACGGACUCCAACGCGGAUGCAGUUGGCAGCGGGAUUUGGCGUCGGCCGUGAGUCUCCAGCACCGACGCUGGUGGUGGUGUUUGGCGAGUUAGGAUGUAGUCAUUGGUUGUAACUUUCCUUUUUUCUAGAUCAAGAUGAAUAAUAUGUAUGCCUGUCUUCCAUGUGUAAAUUUCAUUGAUCAUGUGAUAGAACCAACAUACAAUUUUUAAGGAGGAAAGCUCACUCACACUGUAAUAUUGUAUUCAUGCCAUGGAGGCUAAUUGUAAAAAUUACUCUGAUCAUAUUAAAAAUGCGAAAGCACCUGGCAGUAAAAA